UCCUCGAGUAUUGCCAUAAUCCAUUCC
RNAcentral lists this non-coding RNA (27 nucleotides) under Rattus norvegicus (Norway rat). Lineage: Eukaryota; Metazoa; Chordata; Mammalia; Rodentia; Muridae. The record is from RNAcentral.